This 477-nucleotide ribosomal RNA is filed under the name uncultured bacterium. RNAcentral's name for it is "partial 16S ribosomal RNA". It matches the Rfam family "Bacterial small subunit ribosomal RNA", at positions 28 to 507 of the family's 1533-position model. The record is from RNAcentral.
GAUGAACGCUGGCGGCGUGCCUAAUACAUGCAAGUCGAGCGAACAGACGAGGAGCUUGCUCCUCUGACGUUAGCGGUGGACGGGUGAGUAACACGUGGAUCACCUCCCUAUAAUACUGGUAUAACUUCGGGAAACCGGAGCUAAUCCCGGAUAACCUGUUGAACCGCAUGGUUCAACAGUGAAAGACGGUCUUGCUGUCAGUUGUGGAUGGAUCCGCGCCGCAUUAGCUGGUUGGUGGGGUAGCGGCUUACCAAGGCUACGAUGGGUAGCCGGCCUGAGAGGGUGACAGGCAACAUUGGGACUGAGAUACGGCCCAGACUCCUACGGGAGGCAGCAGUGGGGAAUAUUGCACAAUGGGCGGAAGCCUGAUGCAGCAACGCCGCGUGCGGGAUGACGGCCUUCGGGUUGUAAACCGCUUUCGCCUGUGACGAAGCGUGAGUGACGGGAAUGGGUAAAGAAGCACCGGCUAACUACGUG